AAUGAACGCUGGCGGCAUGCCUUACACAUGCAAGUCGAACGGCAGCAUGACCUAGCUUGCUAGGUUGAUGGCGAGUGGCGAACGGGUGAGUAAUGCAUCGGAACGUGCCUUUUAGUGGGGGAUAACGUAGCGAAAGUUACGCUAAUACCGCAUAUUCUCUGAGGAGGAAAGCAGGGGACCUUCGGGCCUUGCGCUAGAAGAGCGGCUGAUGUCGGAUUAGCUAGUUGGUGAGGUAAAGGCUCACCAAGCCGACGAUCUGUAGCUGGUCUGAGAGGGCGACCAGCCACACUGGGACUGAGACACGGCCCAGGCUCCUACGGGAGGCAGCAGUGGGGAAUUUUGGGCAAUGGGCGAAAGCAUGAUCCCGCAAUGCCGCGUGUGUGAAGAAGGCCUUCGGGUUGUAAAGCACUUUUGUCCGGAAAGAAAUGGCUCUGGUUAAUACCUGGGGUCGAUGACGGUACCGGAAGAAUAAGGACCGGCUAACUACGUGCCAGCCGCCGCAGUAA
This 506-nucleotide ribosomal RNA is filed under the name uncultured bacterium. RNAcentral describes it as "partial 16S ribosomal RNA". It matches the Rfam family "Bacterial small subunit ribosomal RNA", at positions 29 to 523 of the family's 1533-position model. The record is from RNAcentral.